UCCCAGGUGGUCCAGUGGUCAAGGAUCUGCCUGCCAAUGCAGGGUGCACGGGUUCGAUCCCCGAUCUGGGAA
This 72-nucleotide transfer RNA is filed under the name Bos taurus (domestic cattle). It matches the Rfam family "tRNA". From Rfam's summary of the family: Transfer RNA (tRNA) molecules are approximately 80 nucleotides in length. Their secondary structure includes four short double-helical elements and three loops (D, anti-codon, and T loops). RNAcentral also lists the same sequence under 1 other name. The record is from Rfam by way of RNAcentral. Lineage: Eukaryota; Metazoa; Chordata; Mammalia; Artiodactyla; Bovidae.